UACUAGAGUAGCACUCGCAUAUCAAUAAGCGGAGGAAAAGAAACUAACAAGGAUUCCCCUAGUAACGGCGAGUGAAGCGGGAAGAGCUCAAAUUUGAAAUCUUAAAGGGUUUCCCUUUACGAAUUGUAGUUUAAAGAAGUGUUUUCUGUUGAGGUUUUGGUAAAAGUUCUUUGGAAUAGGACAUCAUAGAGGGUGAGAAUCCCGUAUUUGACCUUUACUUUCAACUUUGUGAUACACUUUCAAAGAGUCGGAUUGUUUGGGAAUGCAGUCCAAAAUGGGUGGUAAACUUCAUCUAAAGCUAAAUAUUGGCGAGAGACCGAUAGCGAACAAGUACCGUGAGGGAAAGAUGAAAAGAACUUUGAAAAGAGAGUUAAACAGUACGCGAAAUUGUCAAAAGGGAAGCGUUUGACACCAGUGUUGUUUUUCUGAAAAUCAAUUAAAGAACUGUUUAUGCUAAGUUGUUUAGACUUUAUCAGCUAUCUGUUUAGUUUUAGGCUUUUCUUUAAUGCACUUUUCAGUUAACAAGUCAACAUCAAUUUCUUUUGCUGUAAAAAAGCUUGAGGAAGGUGGCUUGAGAUUCGUCUUAAGUGUUUAUAGCCUCUUGCCUAUGCAGUCGGAGAGAUUGAGGUCUGCAGCGUAGAUCCUUCGGGGCUAAAUGCAUUUGUGCUAAGUUAUAGCAUUUUAUAGACAACUUGUUGACUAUGAUUUGUCUUGUAGCUUACUCGCUUAUGUUAUUUUACCUACGCUUAGGAUGUUGAGCGCAUGUCUCUCUCU
RNAcentral lists this ribosomal RNA (774 nucleotides) under uncultured Neocallimastigales. RNAcentral describes it as "partial large subunit ribosomal RNA". It matches the Rfam family "Eukaryotic large subunit ribosomal RNA", at positions 20 to 616 of the family's 3401-position model. The record is from RNAcentral. Lineage: Eukaryota; Fungi; Neocallimastigomycota; Neocallimastigomycetes; Neocallimastigales.